Molecule: non-coding RNA, 46 nt
Filed under: Schistosoma mattheei
Lineage: Eukaryota; Metazoa; Platyhelminthes; Trematoda; Strigeidida; Schistosomatidae
Source: RNAcentral
GUACUUCUGAGGAAUUCCACAACAGGACGAAAUGGCCAUCCAGUAC